AGGUCGGUAGUUCAGUUGGUAGAGCAUCGGUCUCCAAAACCGAGUGUCGCGAGUUCGAGUCUUGCCCGGCCUG
This is a non-coding RNA of Treponema berlinense, 73 nucleotides long. Lineage: Bacteria; Pseudomonadati; Spirochaetota; Spirochaetia; Treponematales; Treponemataceae. The record is from Rfam.